This 327-nucleotide long non-coding RNA is filed under the name Spirodela polyrhiza (greater duckweed). RNAcentral's name for it is "long non-coding RNA (SPOL_LNC000040)". The record is from RNAcentral. Lineage: Eukaryota; Viridiplantae; Streptophyta; Magnoliopsida; Alismatales; Araceae.
GUACGCCUGGUGCGAGCCCCCCGGCAUCAGCGAAGGUCCCCGUCGGGCGCCCUCCUCGCCGCCGGAGACGCCCAUGCCGAGGUACAGAAGCCCCCGCUCCGCCGCCUCCCGCUGGCGGCGCUCGGUGUUCUCGUACCACUCGUUGCCACCGUCGACGAUGGCGUCCCCGGGCUCGAGGAACUCCGAGAGAGCGGCGAUGGUCUGGUCCACGGGGGCGCCGGCCUUGACGAGGAUGACAACGGAGCGGGGCCUGGCGAUGGAGAGGACGAACUCCCUAGGGUUGUAGUGCCCGCGCAGCGGCAGAUUUCCCUCCUCGGCGGCGCGGGC